AGCAGCCGCGGUAAUUCCAGCUCCAAUAGCGUAUAUUAAAGUUGCUGCAGUUAAAAGCUCGUAGUUGAAUUUCGGGACCAUCAUGUCGGUCGUGCCUCGGUACGUACUGGCAUUGUUGGUUUCUACCUUCUGACGAACCAUGAUGUCAUUUAUUUGGUGUCGUGGGAAAUCAGGACUGUUACUUUGAAAAAAUUAGAGUGUUUAAAGCAGGCUCACGCUUGAAUACAUUAGCAUGGAAUAAUGAAAUAGGACGUUUGAUUCUAUUUUGUUGGUUUCUAGGAUCGACGUAAUGAUUAAUAGGGAUAGUUGGGGGCAUUAGUAUUCAAUUGUCAGAGGUGAAAUUCUUGGAUUUAUUGAAGACUAACUACUGCGAAAGCAUUUGCCAAGGAUGUUUUCAUUAAUCAAGAACGGAAGUUAGGGGAUCGAAGACGAUCAGAUACCGUCGUAGUCUUAACCAUAAACUAUGCCGAC
This 471-nucleotide unclassified non-coding RNA is filed under the name uncultured Glomus. Its description in RNAcentral is "SSU rRNA". It matches the Rfam family "Eukaryotic small subunit ribosomal RNA", at positions 569 to 1046 of the family's 1831-position model. The record is from RNAcentral. Lineage: Eukaryota; Fungi; Glomeromycota; Glomeromycetes; Glomerales; Glomeraceae.